This 60-nucleotide transfer RNA is filed under the name Euhadra herklotsi. RNAcentral describes it as "tranfer RNA-Cys". The record is from RNAcentral. Lineage: Eukaryota; Metazoa; Mollusca; Gastropoda; Stylommatophora; Camaenidae.
AUAGUAGUAGUUUAACAUAAAACAUAAAGUUGCAAACUUUAAUAUCCUUUAGCUACUGUU